GAUAAACGCUGGCGGCGUGCAUUAUGCAUGCAAGUCGAACGGUCUUGAUUUAUCAAGAUAGUGGCAAACGGGUGAGUAACACGUAAGUAACCUGUCCCUAAGUGGGGAAUAGCUCCGGGAAACCGGAGAUAAUACCGCAUGUUGUGGUGAAGGUAAGGCUUCAUCACCAAAGCCUUCGGGCGCUUGGGGAGGGCUUGUGGCCGAUUAGCUAGUUGGUAAGGUAACGGCUUACCAAGGUUACGAUCGGUAGCUGGUCUGAGAGGAUGAUCAGCCACACUGGGACUGAGACACGGCCCAGACUCCUACGGGUGGCUG
RNAcentral lists this ribosomal RNA (315 nucleotides) under uncultured Chloroflexota bacterium. RNAcentral describes it as "bacterial SSU rRNA". It matches the Rfam family "Bacterial small subunit ribosomal RNA", at positions 28 to 351 of the family's 1533-position model. The record is from RNAcentral. Lineage: Bacteria; Bacillati; Chloroflexota.